AUUGAACGCUGGCGGAAUGCUUUACACAUGCAAGUCGAACGGCAGCACGGACUUCGGUCUGGUGGCGAGUGGCGAACGGGUGAGUAAUGUAUCGGAACGUGCCCAGUCGUGGGGGAUAACGUAGUGAAAAUUACGCUAAUACCGCAUACGAUCUAUGGAUGAAAGCGGGGGAUCGCAAGACCUCGCGCGAUUGGAGCGGCCGAUAUCAGAUUAGGUAGUCGGUGGGGUAAAGGCCCACCUAGCCAACGAUCUGUAGCUGGUCUGAGAGGACGACCAGCCACACUGGAACUGAGACACGGUCCAGACUCCUACGGGAGGCAGCAGUGGGGAAUUUUGGACAAUGGGCGAAAGCCGGAUCCAGCCAUUCCGCGUGCAGGAUGAAGGCCCUCGGGUUGUAAACUGCUUUUGUACAGAACGAAAAGGUUUCUACUAAUACUAGGAGCUCAUGACGGUACUGUAAGGAUAAGCACCGGCUAACUACGUGCCAGCCGCCGCCGUAA
This 500-nucleotide ribosomal RNA is filed under the name uncultured bacterium. RNAcentral describes it as "partial 16S ribosomal RNA". It matches the Rfam family "Bacterial small subunit ribosomal RNA", at positions 30 to 523 of the family's 1533-position model. The record is from RNAcentral.